GACGAACGCUGGCGGCGUGCUUAACACAUGCAAGUCGAACGGUGAAGGGACCGGUUUUUGCUGGUUCUGGAUGAGUGGCGAACGGGUGAGUAACACGUGAGUAACCUGCCCCCUUCUUCUGGAUAACCGCAUGAAAGUGUGGCUAAUACGGGAUAUUCUGCGCCUGCUGCAUGGUGGGUGUGGGAAAGAUAUUGUUUCGGUGGGGGAUGGGCUCGCGGCCUAUCAGCUUGUUGGUGGGGUGAUGGCCUACCAAGGCGGUGACGGGUAGCCGGCCUGAGAGGGUGGACGGUCACACUGGGACUGAGACACGGCCCAGACUCCUACGGGAGGCAGCAGGGGGGAAUAUUGCACAAUGGGCGCAAGCCUGAUGCAGCGACGCCGCGGGAGGGAUGGAGGCCUUCGGGUUGUAAACCUCUUUCGCCAGUGAAGCAGGCCUGUCCCUUUUGUGGGUGGGUUGACGGUAGCUGGAUAAGAAGCGCCGGCUAACUACGUG
This 493-nucleotide ribosomal RNA is filed under the name uncultured bacterium. RNAcentral describes it as "partial 16S ribosomal RNA". It matches the Rfam family "Bacterial small subunit ribosomal RNA", at positions 28 to 507 of the family's 1533-position model. The record is from RNAcentral.